This 470-nucleotide ribosomal RNA is filed under the name uncultured Methanomicrobiales archaeon. Its description in RNAcentral is "bacterial SSU rRNA". It matches the Rfam family "Archaeal small subunit ribosomal RNA", at positions 871 to 1337 of the family's 1478-position model. Lineage: Archaea; Methanobacteriati; Methanobacteriota; Methanomicrobia; Methanomicrobiales. The record is from RNAcentral.
CGGGGAGCACCACAACGAGGUGGAGCCUGCGGUUUAAUCGGACUCAACGCCGGGAAACUCACCAGAUAAGACAGCUGAAUGAUAGUCGGGCUGAAGACUCUACCUGACUAGCUGAGAGGAGGUGCAUGGCCGUCGUCAGUUCGUACUGUGAAGCAUCCUGUUAAGUCAGGCAACGAGCGAGACCCACGCCAACAGUUGCCAGCUCGUCCUCCGGGAUGGUGGGGACACUGUUGGGACCGCCUCUGCUAAAGAGGAGGAAGGAAUGGGCAACGGUAGGUCAGCAUGCCCCGAAUUAUCUGGGCUACACGCGGGCUACAAUGGGUGGGACAAUGGGUAUCGACACCGAAAGGUGAAGGCAAUCUCCUAAACCCAUCCGUAGUUCGGAUUGUGGGCUGCAACUCGCCCACAUGAAGCUGGAAUCUGUAGUAAUCGUGUCUCAAAAUGGCACGGUGAAUAUGUCCCUGCUCCUU